CUUCUGCCUUAUUAUCCCACGAGCACUUCCUCUUCCUGCUCUUUUCUUCUCCUAUACCCAUUUGCUAGUGCCACUUCCACUUGCCCUUCCCAGUUUUUCUCCUCUCUUUUGGUCUUACUUGCUGCUGGCUGAGCCAGUCAUGGAGGAGGAGGAGGAGCAGCAGAAGCACGAGCAGGCUAGUGCUUGUGAUUCUAAUGGCACUUCCAUUCAUGUCUUGGCUGUUGAUGACUGCUUCGUUGACCGGAAAAUUGUUGGGAAGCUCCUUGAAAAAGCGUCGUUUAAAGUUACUAGUGCUGAUAGUGGAAAGAUGGCAUUGGAGGUUCUUGGAAUUAGUCAAGACAAAGUGGAGAAAUCUAGUUAUAAUGACCAAAAGAUUGACAUAAUCCUUACUGACUAUUGUAUGCCUGAGAUGAAUGGAUAUGAUCUUCUUAUGGCUGUGAAGGGGAAUAGCAAUGUGAAGUCCAUUCCCGUUGUGAUAAUAUCAUCUGAAUAUGAUCCACAGAGAAUCAGCAGGUGUCUUGCAAAUGGUGCUGAAGAUUUCCUACGGAAACCACUUCAACACAAAGACCUGCAGAAGUUGAGAAGCUAUGUUAAGCCUUCAGCACCUGUAACCAAGACAGGGACAAAAAGAAAAGUCAUACUGGACUUGAUACCGGAAAGUGGUACAGCAGAAACGCGACCUCGCAUUGCUGGAGUUGCAGUGGCUUAACCCUCCAUCGGUGUGACCCUCUCUCCCCUGUCUUCUCUUUCCCCCGACG
This 758-nucleotide unclassified non-coding RNA is filed under the name Hevea brasiliensis (rubber tree). The record is from RNAcentral. Lineage: Eukaryota; Viridiplantae; Streptophyta; Magnoliopsida; Malpighiales; Euphorbiaceae.